This 358-nucleotide unclassified non-coding RNA is filed under the name rhizosphere metagenome. Its description in RNAcentral is "partial ribosomal RNA internal transcribed spacer region". The record is from RNAcentral.
GUAGGUGAACCUGCGGAAGGAUCAUUAACACGUAUCCAACGUCAAACAACCCUGUCGCUCUUGUAGCCAGGCGGAACAGCAAUCCCGGUAAAUCAACGACGCCGGAAAGAGUUUUGAUUCGGGACCUCUGUCCAAAAGGUUACAAUAGAAGCUAGGAGCAGUGGCAUGGUUUCCUGAAGCAGUGCCGAAGGAUGCACUGAGUACGGAUAACGCAUCACGGUUGCUAGAGGUCGAUCACCGGCCGGCAGACAUGUCACAGGGCUAUAUGCCCCUUAAUCACCCCUUGCCUAAUCACGCCCCGCGGAAACGCCGGGCACUAAAAACCGAACAACUGUUAACAAUGGAUAUCUUGGUUCUC